RNAcentral lists this ribosomal RNA (541 nucleotides) under Ochrobactrum sp. enrichment culture clone PAH4. RNAcentral describes it as "bacterial SSU rRNA". It matches the Rfam family "Bacterial small subunit ribosomal RNA", at positions 81 to 657 of the family's 1533-position model. The record is from RNAcentral. Lineage: Bacteria; Pseudomonadati; Pseudomonadota; Alphaproteobacteria; Hyphomicrobiales; Brucellaceae.
GCCCCGCAAGGGGAGCGGCAGACGGGUGAGUAACGCGUGGGAACGUACCUUUUGCUACGGAAUAACUCAGGGAAACUUGUGCUAAUACCGUAUGUGCCCUUCGGGGGAAAGAUUUAUCGGCAAAGGAUCGGCCCGCGUUGGAUUAGCUAGUUGGUGAGGUAAAGGCUCACCAAGGCGACGAUCCAUAGCUGGUCUGAGAGGAUGAUCAGCCACACUGGGACUGAGACACGGCCCAGACUCCUACGGGAGGCAGCAGUGGGGAAUAUUGGACAAUGGGCGCAAGCCUGAUCCAGCCAUGCCGCGUGAGUGAUGAAGGCCCUAGGGUUGUAAAGCUCUUUCACCGGUGAAGAUAAUGACGGUAACCGGAGAAGAAGCCCCGGCUAACUUCGUGCCAGCAGCCGCGGUAAUACGAAGGGGGCUAGCGUUGUUCGGAUUUACUGGGCGUAAAGCGCACGUAGGCGGACUUUUAAGUCAGGGGUGAAAUCCCGGGGCUCAACCCCGGAACUGCCUUUGAUACUGGAAGUCUUGAGUAUGGUAGAGG